This is a long non-coding RNA of Talpa occidentalis (Iberian mole), 1069 nucleotides long. RefSeq lists it as uncharacterized. The record is from RefSeq and is a predicted model, not a curated record. Lineage: Eukaryota; Metazoa; Chordata; Mammalia; Eulipotyphla; Talpidae. The transcript has 3 exons.
GUGGUCGCCUGGGGGGACGCAGGGGAGCCCGAGGAGACCUUGGGGAGCGGUGGAGCAAGUUCUGGGCUUGACAGGAGGGGGAGUUACGGGAUCCUCAGUCGCCACAGUUGGUCACUGUUGUCUUUAAACAGCUUGAUUUUAUCACAUUGCAGUUACAUCUCAAAAAUGUUGCGGGACGUCUUUGCGGGCCAAGAGUUAAGAACCAGCGCGAGGGAAAGCGCAGAUCCUAGAAGGCUGUACUCCACCCAGUUGUGCACCCCCCCAGGGCUGGUCUUCACGCCGGUGGGUCUGCCUGGCUUGGCUGGAAGCUGUGCUUUGGAACUGAGCCAGCAGCUGUACUUGGGAAGUUUGCAGCUCAGUGAUGCACCCCACCCCACCCCCACCCCCCUUAUUUGCUUCCCUUUGCAUUUCCCCUUACCCUUGCUGCCCUGGGAUUGCACUUCCUCAUAAAAAUCUUAGCACUUACACACUUGGCCUCAGGCUUUGCUUUCUAGGUAAAGCAGUUGGACUUGGGGCUGUGCUUUUCUGAAAAUUUCAUAGCCACAAUGGCAAACAAAUUAGAAUUAUUUUUGUUUCUGCCCUAAAAUGCUAGUUUAAGAGACAGUGAGCUGAGACCAAUACUAAGUAUAUGUAUUUGUAUAAGUGUUCCUCUGAAGUUGAUAAAGAUAAAAAUUAGGUUUUCAGUGUGUUGGUUAGUAGUUGUUUCCCUUCAAGAGUAAAUUCCCAGAGCAUAAGAUUUUGCAUACUGUAAACAUUUGGAACUUUGAGACACUUAAGAGGAUAUAGGUGCAAAACAAAGAAAAUGGAUUUCACUCAUGAUCAUAAAGCUGUUAAUUUGGAGGUAGGGGAAGGUUAUGUUUCUUGUUCAUUCAUGAAGCCAUGUUCAAUCUUUCCUAAAAUCUUAUUAUUAGGGGAGGAUAAGUUAAAACUUUUCCAAGCAACUUCUGGUCAAGAAUACUUUGUAAAACAGUUUUUCUUUGCAUUAUUUUAAAUGAUGAGAACCAGUAAAUUUGUAUUUUCAAUAAAAGCCACCGUUUUUCUGACCUCAGAUUUGUAGAUAUUUAUUAUC